This 212-nucleotide long non-coding RNA is filed under the name Podarcis lilfordi (Lilford's wall lizard). Lineage: Eukaryota; Metazoa; Chordata; Lepidosauria; Squamata; Lacertidae. The record is from RNAcentral.
UAAAUGCAAUUUUACAAAGAGAGACCCAACAUCUCACCAGGAGAGUCAGAAAUUCCCUUACCAUGUGGACAUGGCCAUACAGCCAGUGGCUGGGAGGUCCUGGGAAACUCCUGAAACCCUUGAUCAGUUUCUGCCUUGUCUGAAAUAGCUGGAUGGCUUUCAGAGCAAUGCAGGUGAAGAUCAAUGCCACAGUCCAAUAGAAAAACCGAGAG